GCGCAUGCCUGUAAUCCCAGCACUUUGGGAGGCCGAGGUGGGUGGAUCACAAGGUCAGGAGAUCGAGACCAUCCUGGCUAACACGGUGAAACCCUGUCUCUACUAAAAAUACAAAAAAUUAGCCGAACGUGAUGGUGGGCACCUGUAGUCCCAGCGGUUCGGGAGACUGAGGCAGGAGAAUGGCGUGAACCCGGGAGGCGGAGGUUGCAGUGAGCCGAGAUUGCGCCACUGCACUCCAGCCUGGGCGACAGAGCGAGGCU
RNAcentral lists this long non-coding RNA (260 nucleotides) under Homo sapiens (human). Its description in RNAcentral is "HSALNT0308740". Lineage: Eukaryota; Metazoa; Chordata; Mammalia; Primates; Hominidae. The record is from RNAcentral.